This 455-nucleotide ribosomal RNA is filed under the name uncultured bacterium. RNAcentral's name for it is "bacterial SSU rRNA". It matches the Rfam family "Bacterial small subunit ribosomal RNA", at positions 340 to 784 of the family's 1533-position model. The record is from RNAcentral.
UACGGAAGGCAGCAGUGGGGAAUAUUGCACAAUGGGCGCAAGCCUGAUGCAGCCAUGCCGCGUGUAUGAAGAAGGCCUUCGGGUUGUAAAGUACUUUCAGCGGGGAGGAAGGCGAUGCGGUUAAUAACCGCGUCGAUUGACGUUACCCGCAGAAGAAGCACCGGCUAACUCCGUGCCAGCAGCCGCGGUAAUACGGAGGGUGCAAGCGUUAAUCGGAAUUACUGGGCGUAAAAGCGCACGCAGGCGGUCUGUUAAGUCAGAUGUGAAAUCCCCGGGCUUAACCUGGGAACUGCAUUUUGAAACUGGCAGGCUUGAGUCUUGUAGAGGGGGUAGAAUUCCAGGUGUAGCGGUGAAAUGCGUAGAGAUCUGGAGGAAUACCGGUGGCGAAGGCGGCCCCUGGGACAAAGACUGACGCUCAGGGUGCGAAAGCGUGGGGAGCGAAACAGGAUUAGGAU